GGGCCCGUGACUCAAUGGUAGAGAGUUGCACUCAAUGACCAAAGGUCGCGGGUUCGAAUCCCGCGUGAUCCA
Molecule: non-coding RNA, 72 nt
Organism: Schistocephalus solidus
Lineage: Eukaryota; Metazoa; Platyhelminthes; Cestoda; Diphyllobothriidea; Diphyllobothriidae
Source: Rfam